GGCGUAGGGGGCGAGCGUUGUCCGGAUUUAUUGGGCGUAAAGCGUGCGUAGGCGGCUGCGCAAGUCGGGUGUGAAACCCCGGGGCUCAACCCCGGAACUGCAUCCGAUACUGCGUGGCUAGAGGUAGGUAGGGGAGAUCGGAAUUCCUGGUGUAGCGGUGAAAUGCGCAGAUAUCAGGAGGAACACCGGUGGCGAAGGCGGAUCUCUGGGCCUUACCUGACGCUCAGGCACGAAAGCUAGGGGAGCGAACAGG
Molecule: ribosomal RNA, 253 nt
Filed under: uncultured bacterium
Lineage: Bacteria
Description: partial 16S ribosomal RNA
Rfam family: Bacterial small subunit ribosomal RNA
Source: RNAcentral